Molecule: long non-coding RNA, 2404 nt
Organism: Peromyscus leucopus (white-footed mouse)
Lineage: Eukaryota; Metazoa; Chordata; Mammalia; Rodentia; Cricetidae
Exons: 3
Source: RefSeq, a predicted model, not a curated record
GCGCACGCGCAGAGCAGGCGAGGCGCCAGCCUCCCACGGGCUGCGGGCGCGCUGCCGACACCCACGGAUCGCUGGGGCGAGGAGGUCCACACCCUGCCAUCUAAAGAGAACCGCUCUUGCACCGAGGACACCCCCGAGCUCCCAACCCUCCCAGCCCGGAGAGCGGCGCCCCCUGCGGAGCGGAGGAGGUGCAGCAGAAGAGCGUGUACGCAGGCGCGGUUUUCUACUCUCGUCCGUCCCCCAGCGGAAAGAACGCGAAGCACCUUCGCAGUCAUUCUUAUUCCUUGGGGUCGUUAUGUGUGCGCUUUCUCCAGGAUUCUUUUCUGUGGGGAUCCUAUUUAAGGCCCUUUGUCGGGGAGGGGGCAGGGGAGAGCGAAUGAUUCAGUCUACAAGAGCCUUGGGUGACUGCUUGACCUUAUAGUGGAGGCCACACGAAGCCAAACUAGUUGGCCUUAGCGUUGGGGAAAACUGCAAUUCCGAAUAGUUGUAAAUGCUCAGGAGUGAAGUUCAUGGACAGUGGCAAUGGGAGUGUGGCGUCAGCCGGCACCUGACAGGUCCUGCUGGUCCUCAAAGCAGGAGUUAUGUUUGUUCCAGAGCGGUGCAGAAGCUGGACGUGGAGAGUCGAGUCAUACCUGUAAUCCCAGAAUUUAGGAGGCUGAGGCAGGAGGAUAACAAGUUGGAGGGUAGGUAGCCUGGGUUAGUUCUGGAAGGGAUUGACAAAUAGGCUGCCGAAGCUAAGACAUGAAAAAUAAGGUCAUUCAGCUGAGCCAGCUCAGGGCCCCGAAACAAGGUGUAAAGAUAAUGGUGAGUUGACAUUCAAGACAUACAGAUAGUGACAGUGAUCGAACCCAGAUGGGCCAGCUCAGGAGGCCAACAACGGGAUGUAAAGAAUGAGGCGUGACAGUGGUGGACCUUAACCAGGUCAGAUCGAAGCAACCUUAGGGGACUUCCUCUCCAGGACAGCAGAGGUCUGUUACCCUCUCCCCUAGUGAACUUUUCAAUUUUAAGGCUACUUUAAGCCUCAGACAUAUUCUUGCAUCUCAUACAUCUAGGCAGAGUGAAUUCUGGGAAAACGGGCUCCUUUCGUGGAAAUGCCCGCCCUAGGGAAGGGAUAAGGGGCAGAGGUAUGUAAGCAUCUGGCCUGCUAAGAUCGACCAGGACAGUUGAUGCUUGGGUUCACUUGCUCUUUCUCUUACAUUCUUCCUUGCUUGCUCUAAUUAAAUUUGAAUACUAUGUUCUGCCUGAAUUCUUCUUUCUCUAGAGCAUAAGAAGCAACUGGACAGACAACAAAGGAAACUGGAGACCUCCCUGUAACAACUACAUAACAAGAGCCUGACUCAAAACCAGUCACGGCAGAAGCACAGGGCCCGAGGCUGAGACAGAUGGAGGAGGAAUGAAGAGAAUGUGGCUGCAGGCUGUUGGUGGUGGUCACUUGGAGGUCCAAUGGAAAGUUACUGGGUUGUGCAGGGUAUGGUGGUCCAUGCCAUUAAUUCCAGGCCAUGGGAGGCAGAGGUGAUGCUCCGCCAUGUCAUGAUGAAGCAGGAAGGCAUCAGACACAGGUGCAGUCUCUUGGACUGCCCAGCCUCUAGAGCUUCGAGCCAAACACAAGUUCUAUUUUUUAUAUCUUAUCCAGUCUCACCAGGCAUGGUGAACACUUGCCUGUAACCCCAUCCCUUGAGAAGAAGAGACAAGAGGAUCAGAAGUUCGAUACCAGCCUGGACUACAUGACACCCUAUUUCAGUAAAUAAAUAAUCCAGUAUCAAGUAUUAAAGUGUUAAAUUAACAGGAAAAGGCCUAAGGCAGUGUGAUGGGAAGAGGUGUCAGAGAUCCCUGCAGAUUUUUCGCAGGAGCAGGCGGGAUUAUGGGGAGAGAGAAGGGAGUGAGCUCCAUUCUAGCACGCUGAGUUUGCUGUGUUUGGGAGAUGAGAAGUCAAUAGGAGGCUAGAGCUCAGAACAGAAGCUGGGCCUGCAAAAACAACACAGAUCCUGCAGCUGAAGGGGCAGGGUGGCAAGGGUGGGCAGGGUCCAAGGAGGAGUGAGCAACAGUGUGAGAACUUUGGGAGAGAUUUGAUUGGCAGAUAACUCCAUUCAAUUUAGAAGCCCUGAGCUGAGAUCGUUCAGGUAGAAUAGUGUGAGUUGCAGUGCCUGGAAGACUGGCUGAGAAUAGAGACAUGGGAGACCACAGAGUAGACGGUUCUUGAGAAUUUGUGGAUGGUGAAUACGAGACAGAGAAGGAAUCGUGGGAUUGAAGGGGGACUUUAUUUAUUUAUUUAUUUAUUUACUUACUUAUUUAUUUCCCCCCAAGACAGGGCUCUGUAGAGCCCUGGCUGUGUUUCACUGUGUCGACCAGGCUGGCCUCGAAUCCAGAGAUCCACCUGCCCCUGCCUCUGUCUCCUAAAUACUGG